ACAUACGACCAUAGUACGAGGACAUGCGCAGGAGCCCAUCUCGAACUCCUCAGCUAAAUCCCGUCACGCACGCUUAGUACUCCGGAGGGGGACCACGGUGGAAUCGCGUGUGUCGUAUGUU
This 121-nucleotide ribosomal RNA is filed under the name Batrachospermum ectocarpum. The record is from RNAcentral. Lineage: Eukaryota; Rhodophyta; Florideophyceae; Batrachospermales; Batrachospermaceae.